Molecule: ribosomal RNA, 675 nt
Filed under: Bacillus thuringiensis
Lineage: Bacteria; Bacillati; Bacillota; Bacilli; Caryophanales; Bacillaceae
Description: bacterial SSU rRNA
Rfam family: Bacterial small subunit ribosomal RNA
Source: RNAcentral
GUCGAGCGAAUGGAUUGAGAGCUUGCUCUCAAGAAGUUAGCGGCGGACGGGUGAGUAACACGUGGGUAACCUGCCCAUAAGACUGGGAUAACUCCGGGAAACCGGGGCUAAUACCGGAUAACAUUUUGAACUGCAUGGUUCGAAAUUGAAAGGCGGCUUCGGCUGUCACUUAUGGAUGGACCCGCGUCGCAUUAGCUAGUUGGUGAGGUAACGGCUCACCAAGGCAACGAUGCGUAGCCGACCUGAGAGGGUGAUCGGCCACACUGGGACUGAGACACGGCCCAGACUCCUACGGGAGGCAGCAGUAGGGAAUCUUCCGCAAUGGACGAAAGUCUGACGGAGCAACGCCGCGUGAGUGAUGAAGGCUUUCGGGUCGUAAAACUCUGUUGUUAGGGAAGAACAAGUGCUAGUUGAAUAAGCUGGCACCUUGACGGUACCUAACCAGAAAGCCACGGCUAACUACGUGCCAGCAGCCGCGGUAAUACGUAGGUGGCAAGCGUUAUCCGGAAUUAUUGGGCGUAAAGCGCGCGCAGGUGGUUUCUUAAGUCUGAUGUGAAAGCCCACGGCUCAACCGUGGAGGGUCAUUGGAAACUGGGAGACUUGAGUGCAGAAGAGGAAAGUGGAAUUCCAUGUGUAGCGGUGAAAUGCGUAGAGAUAUGGAGGAACACCAGUGGC